This 138-nucleotide transfer RNA is filed under the name Penicillium salamii. RNAcentral describes it as "tRNA-Arg". It matches the Rfam family "tRNA". Rfam says of the family: Transfer RNA (tRNA) molecules are approximately 80 nucleotides in length. Their secondary structure includes four short double-helical elements and three loops (D, anti-codon, and T loops). Further hydrogen bonds mediate the characteristic L-shaped molecular structure. tRNAs have two regions of fundamental functional importance: the anti-codon, which is responsible for specific mRNA codon recognition, and the 3' end, to which the tRNAs corresponding amino acid is attached (by aminoacyl-tRNA synthetases). tRNAs cope with the degeneracy of the genetic code in two manners: having more than one tRNA (with a specific anti-codon) for a particular amino acid; and 'wobble' base-pairing, i.e. permitting non-standard base-pairing at the 3rd anti-codon position. The record is from RNAcentral. Lineage: Eukaryota; Fungi; Ascomycota; Eurotiomycetes; Eurotiales; Aspergillaceae.
GGCGGUUUGGCCGAGUGGUCUAAGGCGAUUGAGUACGUUCCACCAUACAAAAUCAUUCCCCACGAAUUUUCACUAACCUUCCUUACAGCUAGAAAUCAAUUCUCUUCGGAGGCGCAUGUUCGAAUCAUGCAGCCGUCG